RNAcentral lists this long non-coding RNA (477 nucleotides) under Vitis vinifera (wine grape). Its description in RNAcentral is "long non-coding RNA (VVIN_LNC007262)". The record is from RNAcentral. Lineage: Eukaryota; Viridiplantae; Streptophyta; Magnoliopsida; Vitales; Vitaceae.
ACGAGCUAGUGAGAGAAAGGGUGAUGGGAAGGAAAAUGGGUAGGAAACAAUGGGUUUGAUGGCUAUGGGUGCAUGCAUGGGAUGAGUGAUAUGGAACGAGCUAGUGAGAGAAAGGGUGAUGGGAAGGAAAAUGGGUAGGAAACAAUGGGUGCAUGCAUGGGAUGAUUGAUAUGGAACGAGCUAGUGAGAGAAAGGGUGAUGGGAAGGAAAAUGGGUAUCAUGGGGGAGUGAAUAAUGAGAGAAAUGGAUUAGUGGAUAUUGAGAAGGUGGUGGAGAAAUGGAGUGGAUUUUUAAGGCAUGGUGACAUGGGCAUGGUAGCAAAGGAUGAUAAAUGGGGAGAGAGGUAUGGUUAUGAUGCCACUGCUUCCUUGAUAUAUAAACAUGUGCAUGACAAUUUUGAUGGCCUUUGAGACUUCAUGAUUUUGUUGUGCAUCUGAGUUGCUGAUGGCCCGAACUUAUCACUUGCUCCUGUCUAUG